Molecule: transfer RNA, 77 nt
Filed under: Calditrichota bacterium
Lineage: Bacteria; Pseudomonadati; Calditrichota
Description: Calditrichaeota bacterium tRNA-Arg
Rfam family: tRNA
About the family: Transfer RNA (tRNA) molecules are approximately 80 nucleotides in length. Their secondary structure includes four short double-helical elements and three loops (D, anti-codon, and T loops).
Source: RNAcentral
GCGCCCGUAGCUCAAUAGGAUAGAGCACUAGCCUCCGGAGCUAGGGGUUGUGGGUUCAAUUCCCGCCGGGCGUACAA